CCUACGGGGGACAGCAGUGAGGAAUAUUGGUCAAUGGCCGAGAGGCUGAACCAGCCAAGUCGCGUGAGGGAAGACGGCCCUACGGGUUGUAAACUGCUUUUAUACGGGAAUAACGCGCCUUACGUGUAGGGCUUUGCAUGUACCGUAUGAAUAAGGACCGGCUAAUUCCGUGCCAGCAGCCGCGGUAAUACGGAAGGUCCGGGCGUUAUCCGGAUUUAUUGGGUUUAAAGGGAGCGUAGGCCGCAUGACAAGCGUGCUGUGAAAUGUCCGGGCUCAACCCGGGCCUUGCAGCGCGAACUGGCGUGCUUGAGUCCGCGGAAAGCAGGCGGAAUUCGUCGUGUAGCGGUGAAAUGCUUAGAUAUGACGAAGAACCCCGAUUGCGAAGGCAGCUUGCUGCAGCGGAACUGACGCUGAUGCUCGAAAGCGCGGGUAUCGAACAGGAUUAGAUACCCCAGUAGUC
This 460-nucleotide ribosomal RNA is filed under the name uncultured bacterium. RNAcentral describes it as "partial 16S ribosomal RNA". It matches the Rfam family "Bacterial small subunit ribosomal RNA", at positions 338 to 795 of the family's 1533-position model. The record is from RNAcentral.